RNAcentral lists this ribosomal RNA (380 nucleotides) under uncultured archaeon. Its description in RNAcentral is "bacterial SSU rRNA". It matches the Rfam family "Archaeal small subunit ribosomal RNA", at positions 471 to 851 of the family's 1478-position model. The record is from RNAcentral.
UAAUACCAGCUCCUCAAGUGGUGGGGGUGAUUAUUGGGCCUGAAGCGUCCGUAGCCGGCUCGGUAAGUCUUCCGUUAAAUCCAACGACCUAAUCGUUGGGCUGCGGGAGAUACUGUCGGGCUAGGGGACGGGAGAAGCCGACGGUACUUCUGGGGUAGGGGUGAAAUCCUAUAAUCCUGGGAGGACCACCAGUGGCGAAGGCGGUCGGCUAGAACGCGCCCGACGGUGAGGGACGAAAGCUGGGGGAGCGAACCGGAUUAGAUACCCGGGUAGUCCCAGCCGUAAACGAUGCAGGCUAGGUGUCGGAUUGGCUACGAGCCACUCCGGUGCCGCGAGGAAGCUGUUAAGCCUGCCGCCUGGGGAGUCCGGUCGCAAGACUG